ACGGUCAGUCGAGCGGAGGUGGUGCAGCAGAGUGGUCUACUCAAGUGUCGCGCCGCGCCUGUGACAUCGCGAUUCAAACAACACAUGCUGACGCGCUGUUGCUCUAUUACUCACUAAUGAAGUUUGUACGAAAUCUUGAUAUUUAUAAUAUGCAUUAUGGGUUGUACAAGCAGCGCGCCAACCGUAGCCAUCCCCGAUGCUAAUACGGCGUCAGAAGAAACUGUGAAUAUCGAACAAAAACUACAAGAAAAAAAUAUUAAUAAUCAAGAGAAAAUGUCAAAGGAGGAUCAAAAUGAAACAAACGACUCAAAUGUGCUUCCUAAGUGUGAUACCAUAUCGGAACCUAUCCAAGUAUUUAGUCAUAAUAAAUCAUUGACGGAUUUACGUAGUCUAGAAAAUAUGAGAGAAAACCAUGAAAUGGAAAAUGGUGAAGAAAAUAAUAAAGAUAAUACGCCAGUCGAUACAUUACACGACGAUAAAAUAUCUAGUUUAGAAAAUAUCGUUAAACGAGUAAUUGAGAGUAAGGUUACGGAAAAUAUUAUGAACCAUGGUGGCAAUUCUCAUAACGAAGAUCACAACAUUGAACAAACUAGUCAAGAACAUGACUCGGCUAUCACAUUACAAUUAAAUAACAUUCUUUUAACCAAUAUUGAAGAUGUUGAAAAAAACGACAAUUGCGAAGAAAAGGCCAGUCCAACCCAAUCAGAAUGUAGUCGCGUAACUCGAUGGGAAGCUUUAGCUGACAUUGCUGCAGAAUUACCACCUUCGCUUGCUGUUGAUCCUAUUACAGGACAAAUUUACACAUUAUCAAAAUAAAUUAGGAUCGAAGAACUGAAAAACAAUGCUUUCUUUACAUCAAUGUUAAAUGUAACUGCGGGUGCCAAUCAAUGAAUAAUCCACCGUGUUGUUCCGCACUCGACACUCGAAUAACGACCAAACGCAAGUGCCAUGCCGCUCCACGCGUGUAGUGUGUGUAGAUGAGCGUGAGUUACAACUAACUCUGUGUUAUUUUUAUGAUUUUGUCGCAUUGCUAUAUCUAGCCCUCAUAUAACAGGCUAGGCGUGUGCUGCAAGGAUACCACAUCCUUGAUAAGGUUUUUUGUAUUACCUGUUUAGUGAGUGAUGGCGCACCAACACGGUACCUACAUGUGCUUUAUCUGCCUGGUGGAUUUCACUUUAUUUUUAUAUGGAACUGAAUUGAUGCAAAGCUUAUUAUACAAUUACACAAGACAUCCAAAUAAGAAAUGCACACGAUCUUACUUAAUAUGUAUAAAAAAAAUAAAUGACGUCAAUUCAAUACUA
Molecule: unclassified non-coding RNA, 1301 nt
Filed under: Manduca sexta (tobacco hornworm)
Lineage: Eukaryota; Metazoa; Arthropoda; Insecta; Lepidoptera; Sphingidae
Description: uncharacterized LOC115451775, transcript variant X6
Source: RNAcentral